This 206-nucleotide long non-coding RNA is filed under the name Elaeis guineensis (African oil palm). Its description in RNAcentral is "long non-coding RNA (EGUI_LNC008070)". The record is from RNAcentral. Lineage: Eukaryota; Viridiplantae; Streptophyta; Magnoliopsida; Arecales; Arecaceae.
AACACAAGUGAACCAAAAAUAGAUAAUAAAGAUAUAAACAUUACACCACCGAGAAUAAAUAUAAAGUAUAGCUUGAUCAAUCCCACGGGCUCGAAGAUAACAACCAUUAUAAAGUAAUGCCCCACAUUAAGAGGUUGUUUGGAUGCUCAACAUUUUAUGGAAUAAAUCAUAUAUUCGAGGAGAAGUUAAUUAUGUAGAGGGAGAGA